Molecule: ribosomal RNA, 447 nt
Filed under: uncultured bacterium
Lineage: Bacteria
Description: bacterial SSU rRNA
Rfam family: Bacterial small subunit ribosomal RNA
Source: RNAcentral
UCCAGACUCCUACGGGAGGCAGCAGUGGGGGAUAUUGCACAAUGGGGGAAACCCUGAUGCAGCGACGCCGCGUGGGUGAAGGAGUGCUUCGGCAUGUAAAGCCCUAUCGGCAGGGAAGAAGCAAGACGGUACCUGAAGAAGAAGCCCCGGCUAACUACGUGCCAGCAGCCGCGGUAAUACGUAGGGGGCAAGCGUUAUCCGGAUUUACUGGGUGUAAAGGGGGCGCAGACGGCGAUGCAAGCCAGGAGUGAAAGCCCGGGGCCCAACCCCGGGACUGCUCUUGGAACUGCGUGGCUGGAGUGCAGGAGGGGCAGGCGGAAUUCCUGGUGUAGCGGUGAAAUGCGUAGAUAUCAGGAGGAACACCGGUGGCGAAGGCGGCCUGCUGGACUGCAGCUGGCGUUGAGGCCCGAAAGCGUGGGGAGCAAACAGGAUUAGAUACCCUAGUAU